GCAGACAAUAGAGGCGCAGCUUAUUGGGUAAUCGCAGAUGCCAAGGAAGAUCACUUCCAAUGAUGUAGAUGAAGGAGUAAGUUGCCGAAAGCAAUGAUUCGUGAUUGAGUCUUUGCUUGGGACAGAGACGUACAGUUUCUGUACUGUCAUGAUAUCAUGGAGCACUAUUAGCAAA
RNAcentral lists this non-coding RNA (175 nucleotides) under Roseburia sp. CAG:50. RNAcentral describes it as "Lysine riboswitch aptamer". It matches the Rfam family "Lysine riboswitch aptamer". From Rfam's summary of the family: Riboswitches are metabolite binding domains within certain messenger RNAs that serve as precision sensors for their corresponding targets. Lineage: Bacteria; Bacillati; Bacillota; Clostridia; Lachnospirales; Lachnospiraceae. RNAcentral also lists the same sequence under 1 other name. The record is from Rfam by way of RNAcentral.